AUUGAACGCUGGCGGCAUGCCUUACACAUGCAAGUCGAACGGUAACGGGCCUUCGGGUGCCGACGAGUGGCGAACGGGUGAGUAAUACAUCGGAACGUGCCCGAUCGUGGGGGAUAACGAGGCGAAAGCUUUGCUAAUACCGCAUACGAUCUACGGAUGAAAGCAGGGGACCGCAAGGCCUUGCGCGGACGGAGCGGCCGAUGGCAGAUUAGGUAGUUGGUGGGAUAAAAGCUUACCAAGCCGACGAUCUGUAGCUGGUCUGAGAGGAUGAUCAGCCACACGGGGACGGGGACACGGCCCAGCCUCUUACGGGAGGAGGCGGGGGGAAUUUUUGGCCAAGGGGGGCAAGCCUGUCCCGGCCAGGCCGCGUGCAGAAUGAAGGCUUUCGGGUUGUAAACUGCUUUUGUACGGAACAAAAAGCCUUCUUUUAAUACAGGAGGGUCAUGACGGUACCGUAGAAUAAGCACCGGCUAACUACGUG
RNAcentral lists this ribosomal RNA (481 nucleotides) under uncultured bacterium. Its description in RNAcentral is "partial 16S ribosomal RNA". It matches the Rfam family "Bacterial small subunit ribosomal RNA", at positions 30 to 507 of the family's 1533-position model. The record is from RNAcentral.